Glossina fuscipes is the source of this 1858-nucleotide RNA transcript. RefSeq lists it as uncharacterized. NCBI's taxonomy places the organism in Eukaryota, Metazoa, Arthropoda, Insecta, Diptera, Glossinidae. The record is from RefSeq and is a predicted model, not a curated record. The transcript has 2 exons.
AAAUUAUAUUUGUGUAUUGGGAAGAAAAAGAAAAAAACAUUUGGUAACAGUAAACACAAAUUUUGUUUUAAUAUUGAGCUAAAUUAAGCAAUGUUGACCAAUGUGUAUAUUUCCAUGCGUCGUAACUUCCUAUUACGCUCAUUCGUUGAAGAGGAGAACAAUGACAGCCCUGACGCAGAUAAAAGGAUCAUCACGACAUAAGCAAGAAAGCAUUCGCAGAAGUUCCGUAUUUCCAAAGCGGCUUUUUAUUACGUCCUUGUAAAAAUUGGUAUGAGUGGUGGUAUGGGGAUUGCAUAUAUACCGCCGAUGUUGCAUUUACCCAUGACCUUAAAGUUGUUGGCUUCAGAAGAUUACUAAUGGCUGGCCUGCAGUGAGUGACGGUGCAUAUCCUCUAGAACCUUGGCUGAUGACAUCUAACCGAAGCUCGGAAGAUCCCCUAAAAAAGUAUACAUCGAAAUCCAUUGCAAGGCGAGUAACAUUGAGGAAGGUGCAAUGGUAUGUACAAAGGUUAGUAUUUCGAAAAUCUAACUAUAGUUUUCGAACAUUUCUCCUGGUCACUGGCGUAUUCUACAGAGAUGUAAUCAUUCUUUUAACCUGUUCUUUUAAAAAAAUUCAUGAAAACAAUGAGUCUUCAUAUGACAAUAAGUUCUAGCUUUCAAUAUUUUGUAAAGAACAUUGGUGCAACAUAGCAGUUUGACACAUAGGUUUAUUGUGGUCAUGAUUGCAUCAAUCCGAUCAUGAAAUUUAAGAAACUUUUUGCAAUCUGAUAGUGAACGAUCGCAUAAGAUGGCUUGAUCCUUUGAUCGUCAUUUUCGAAACAUGAAGUUACCUUUCUGGAGUAAGGAUGUAACUUCCCGCCGUAUAAAUACUGCUUUACCAAUAGAAGUACCGCCACAAAGUUGUCAAGGUACAAAUUUAGUUUCAUAAUCCCGGAAGCUAAGGGAAAACUAUUUCCUCCAUCAUCCGGAAGUUGUUACAUAGCACUAAGAAGGCUUAGUUCCAUAGGUAACGAUAUUCAAUUUGUAAGUUUUGAAGUGUUGUUUCUCUGGAGAAUACAUUGUAGGUAAUCGUCUGAAUAGGAAACCUCUACAGAUCGACACAUGUUACAAAUAUCACUGCUGCACCAAAGCAAAAUAUAAAUAGCUUCAUCAAAAUAUAAAUAGCUGGAAUGAAGUAUGUUAUUUAGUAAAAAACGUGAUGUUUUUGCUGAAUCGUCAAAAACGACACUUUAUUUUGUUGCUGUGCUACCUCCCUCAUGCACAAAAUGAUAUCAUUGCAUAAUAAAAAAUAAGUAACAAAAUAAAUAACAAGUUUUGCGUUUUGGUGGAGAUCUGACUAGCGACAUGGGAUUCUAUAUACUUGUUCAUAAAGGUUAUGUAUUGUGUUUUGAUUUCUGGAUGCUUGUUCAGCUUCUUUUCGAGACCUUUAAAACGGUGAAGAGCACGCUUACAGAACAUGCACCUUCGUUAUUUUAAAGUUUUGCUCGCAAAUGAUAUUUGGUCGCAAGAUGAGAUUAAUCAAAGUAAUUUUCUAGGGAUAAUGAUUUAACUAGCACCUUUAAGUUUAAUAUUUUUGACGUUAGUUGCUAAUGACAAUGAAUUUAAAGCAGGAAAUCCACCACCAGAGAUCAUACCAAUAAUGUUUCUUGUAAAGUAGGCAGAUUGUUUGCCAAGCGAAUUCGGGCAACACAAAUCAAUUCGAAGAAGAGACCAACGCCGCUCAAAUUUCUAUAACGCCUGGUUUGUGAAAUAAGGGGUUUGCUAAACGCACACUUUUUCUUCCGUUAGACUUGAUACUAGGCUGAUAAUAUGAUAACUGGCGCGAUGAGAGCUAACGUUGAAGAUGAAUAAUUUCCAUA